GGGCGUCGCUUUUUGAUCCUUCGAUG
This 26-nucleotide unclassified non-coding RNA is filed under the name Dictyostelium discoideum. Lineage: Eukaryota; Evosea; Eumycetozoa; Dictyosteliales; Dictyosteliaceae. The record is from RNAcentral.